This 440-nucleotide ribosomal RNA is filed under the name uncultured bacterium. RNAcentral's name for it is "partial 16S ribosomal RNA". It matches the Rfam family "Bacterial small subunit ribosomal RNA", at positions 338 to 795 of the family's 1533-position model. The record is from RNAcentral.
CCUACGAGAGGCAGCAGUGGGGAAUAUUGCACAAUGGGGGGAACCCUGAUGCAGCGACGCCGCGUGAGUGAAGAAGUAUUUCGGUAUGUAAAGCUCUAUCAGCAGGGAAGAAAAUGACGGUACCUGGAUAAGAAGCCCCGGCCAACUACGUGCCAGCAGCCGCGGUAAUACGGAGGGGGCAAGCGUUAUCCGGAUUUACUGGGUGUAAAGGGAGCGCAGACGGCUGUGCAAGUCUGGAGUGAAAGGCCGGGGACCAACCCCCGGACUGCUCUGGAAACUGUAAAGCUGGAGUGCAGGAGAGGUAAGCGGAAUUCCUAGUGUAGCGGUGAAAUGCGUAGAUAUUAGGAGGAACACCAGUGGCGAAGGCGGCUUACUGGACUGCAACUGACGUUGAGGCUCGAAAGCGUGGGGAGCAAACAGGAUUAGAUACCCGGGUAGUC